UACGUAGGGCGCAAGCGUUAUCCGGAAUUAUUGGGCGUAAAGAGCUCGUAGGCGGUUUGUCGCGUCUGCCGUGAAAGUCCGGGGCUCAACCCCCGGAUCUGCGGUGGGUACGGGCAGACUUGAGUGCAGUAGGGGAGACUGGAAUUCCUGGUGUAGCGGUGAAAUGCGCAGAUAUCAGGAGGAACACCGAUGGCGAAGGCAGGUCUCUGGGCUGUAACUGACGCUGAGGAGCGAAAGCAUGGGGAGCGAACAGG
Molecule: ribosomal RNA, 254 nt
Filed under: uncultured bacterium
Lineage: Bacteria
Description: partial 16S ribosomal RNA
Rfam family: Bacterial small subunit ribosomal RNA
Source: RNAcentral